Molecule: ribosomal RNA, 484 nt
Filed under: uncultured bacterium
Lineage: Bacteria
Description: partial 16S ribosomal RNA
Rfam family: Bacterial small subunit ribosomal RNA
Source: RNAcentral
AUUGAACGCUGGCGGCAGGCCUAACACAUGCAAGUCGAGCGGAUGAAGGGUGCUUUCUCCUGGAUUCAGCGGCGGACGGGCGAGUAAUGCCUAGGAAUCUGCCUGCUCGUGGGGGCUAACGUCCGGACACGGGCGCUAAUACCGCAUACGUCCUUAGGGAGAAAGUGGGGGAUCUUCGGACCUCACCCUUUUAGAUGAGCCUACUCCGGAUUAGAUAGUUGGUGGGGUAAAGGCCUACCGAGGCGGCGAUCCGUACCUGGUCUGAGAGGAUGACCAGACACACUGGAACUGAGAGACGGUCCAGACUCCUACGGGAGGCAGCAGUGGGGAAUAUUGGACAAUGGGCGAAAGCCUGAUCCAGCCAUGCCGCGUGUGUGAAGAAGGUCUUCGGAUUGUAAAGCACUUUAAGUUGGGAGGAAGGGCAGUAAGUGAAUACCUUGCUGUUUUGACGUUACCAACAGAAUAAGCACCGGCUAACUUCGUG